UUGUGUCGUCUGCUGUACAUGGACAUAAAUAUAUUUGGUAGACACCACAUAGACCUACUGCUGAUCAGAAUGUUUCAAAAUGUUGUGUCAACAAGAGAGUUAUUGUCAGACAGUUUCAGCAGUGAACGACAGGAUACCUGUGAACUGUCAUAUGGGUCGCAGCAGUAUUCUCAACUUCCAUAUUCUCAACAAGAGUUCUCACAAGUCAGCACACAGGAUAUGUUUACUCAACAGUUAUCCAGUGGCUCACAGAAUGAGAUGAUGCAUGGUACCCACAGCAGGAAACCCACUCUGUAUGAUAAGUGGAAAAACAAAGCCACUUCUGCAUUCAAGCAGGUGCCUGCAAGCAAACAAAAUACCAGCACUAGCACUGUGACAAGCAGACCUUUGCAGACCAAAUCUAAUUUUGGUAUUCAGCAGCUACAGAUAAACAAAACAAGGGCCAAGGAGAGAGAUGAAAGGGACUUUCUACAACAAGUGGUGAAUACUGUUCAAGAUAGCUCCAAAGAGGUAAGACUGACUUUAUGUGCUGUACGAGAAAAAUUGGAACACACUGCAGAUCAAUCUGAACAGAAUCUACAACAAAUCAUAACGUCAUUCUUAGAUGACCUGUGCAAACACCAAGAUAAGAUUCUUAAUGCUAUUCAGGAGAAAGACAGUAAUUCAUGCAGGAUGCAUGAUUUGGAAAGAGAUCUAGCCAUGAGAGAUGCCAAGAUUCAAUCUUUGGAGAAGAUUAUUGAUGACCAGGAGAAAGAUAAGCCAAAUAAGAUUGUGUGUGCCCUGCAAAAAGAAUUACUACCUCCCCAUCAGAAAGUGGAUGAGAAACUGUCAGAGCUGUUGGAGACUACACGUGACAACCAUGAGCAGUACACUCAACAGAUUCAUGAGCAGAAACAACAGCUAGAGCAACAGCAGAAACUCUACUCCGACCUCAAGAAGGCUCAUCAGACUCAGGUCAAAGACACAGAAAAAAGAUUGAUGACAGAAGUUUCCAACUUACGCAAAGACAUCAGGAAAAAGGAGAGUAGUUGUCUGCAAGAUAUCUUGGAACAGCUGAAGAUGGCACAAGAGCAACAGAAUGAAGAGCUAGAAAGUCACAUCUCCAGGCUUAUCGAUAGGCCAACAGAAGUCUCAUAUCAUUCCCGAGAUCAAGGACUGCAAAGGAAAGAGAUACAGGCUCUUUUCAAAAAGCACUGGGAAUCAGUGGAGAGAUUUGUUGAAACUCAGUUUAACAAGCAGUUGAAAGUACAAGAGCAGCAGCUUGAGAGUGCAGUGCAAGACAUUAAAGAUGCAGAGUGUAAGCAUGAUCAGUUCAGUAGCUUCUUGUCCCUACCCCAGUUUGAGGAUAAGAUGGGUCAAUACCAUGAAGAUUUUAAGAAGCAGGUGGAAUGUUUGCAUGAGAACCAUGUAAAGGAGUUACAACAACUGAGGACUGCAGAACAGGUAAAACAGCGAGAACAAAAGAAUAAAGAGUUGAACGUACAAACAGAUGUUGGGAGAAGGUUCAGAUGGGACAAAGGACCAAACACAAACAAGUAUGAUGGUCUGGAUAGAAAGAGUACAAAUGAGGCCUGUCGCUUUCCUAAAUCCACUGUUGUGUUUGGAAGAUGUGAAGCAAAUGGAUCAUUACCAGUACGUGAAUCAGCAAUUGUAUCCCCUCUAACAGCAAACUACAAGAAGCUAAAUUCCAGAUCUUUCUUUUCAAAAUCAACAUUCUCCCCAGUUGCCACUGUUCAACCUCUAAGAAAUGAAACUCAACUUAUUUCAAACCUAUUACAUGCUGAAAAUCAACAGACAGAGGCAAUAGUAACUGAAACUGUCACACAUAUUGAAAAAAAGAAGACAAAUAAAAGGAAGAAGAAGAGGUCCAAAUUUGCAAAAGCUGAGAAAUCCAAACCUCUGACAUCUGAACUUGCACCAUCUUCUGAACCUGUUCAAGGCAGAGUACUGAGGCAGAGGAAUUUAGUGAUUAAUCAACAAGCUAAUAAAAGCAUGCCAAAAACACUUGCAUGCAGAGGAAAAGUUUCAGAGACAACACCAGGACUAACCUCAACAUCAAAAGCAAUUUCAUUAAACGACACGACCUUGACAUCAAAUAGGCCUACAGCACCAUCUGUAAAUUCUCCAAACAAGAAUGUAUCAGUGUAUGAAUUUAGAGAUGAAGACAUUGGAGACAGAACUAGAGCUACCAAGAAACCUUUCGUUGGCAGUAGGACACAAAGUUAUCGGUUCACCUCUCACAAAAAUGAACUGAUGACCAUGGACACAAGCCAAACUGUCACAUUUCCAAGGCCUCUGACAUCACCUUGCAUAGAUAUGAUGUUACAAAACUGCGGCCAGUUACAUCAAUAAGUUUCUCAGCUUCCGCUUGAAUCCUGUCCCCAACAGCCCUACCAUGGUCUUCCUCCUUAACAGCAUUUGCGAUGAACUUCUCAAGUAUGUUAAACAGGUCAGUCAAAUGAGAGCCGUGACUCUUCUCCAUCAUUGUCUAUUACUGAAGUGGUAGUGAGGAGGAGAAUCAAAUGUGACAAGCAAACACCUGACAUGAACCUGCAUUUUAACACAGGCGGAUUAGAGACAUUU
This 2583-nucleotide unclassified non-coding RNA is filed under the name Haliotis rufescens (red abalone). RNAcentral's name for it is "uncharacterized LOC124118535, transcript variant X1". The record is from RNAcentral. Lineage: Eukaryota; Metazoa; Mollusca; Gastropoda; Lepetellida; Haliotidae.